This 189-nucleotide ribosomal RNA is filed under the name Bacteroidales bacterium. Its description in RNAcentral is "partial 16S ribosomal RNA". It matches the Rfam family "Bacterial small subunit ribosomal RNA", at positions 1 to 184 of the family's 1533-position model. Lineage: Bacteria; Pseudomonadati; Bacteroidota; Bacteroidia; Bacteroidales. The record is from RNAcentral.
ACAAUGAAGAGUUUGAUCCUGGCUCAGGCUGAACGCUAGCGGCAGGCUUAACACAUGCAAGUCGAGGGGCAGCGCGGGGUAGCAAUACUCUGGCGGCGACCGGCGAAAGGGUGAGUAACGCGUGAGCAACGUGCCCGUAUGUGGGGGAUAGUCAUUGGAAACGAUGCGUAAUACCCCGUAACACAUUUC